This is a long non-coding RNA of Pseudopipra pipra, 8998 nucleotides long. RefSeq lists it as uncharacterized. The transcript is spliced from 6 exons. The record is from RefSeq and is a predicted model, not a curated record. NCBI's taxonomy places the organism in Eukaryota, Metazoa, Chordata, Aves, Passeriformes, Pipridae.
GUGCAAAGUGAGACUUUAAAGAGCAGUGGUCAGAGAUUCUCCUAGCGUUUCUGUAUAUUUUGAGUUUUUCUAGUGGGCUCUGCUUGAAUUAUCUGUGAUUUUUAAAAUUUUCUUUCAUGGGAAAAAUUGUCUUGUAGGGGGUAAGAGACAAAUCAAGAGAAAAUCUGGUUAUGCCUUUCAGGACUCUCUGUAUUGAGUUAGUUUCUUUAUGAAACUGGAUAUGUCUGUUAAAAUUGCCUGUAUGGAGACUUCUGGAAAGAGCAUAAUUUUGAAGUACCUUACAGAAAAUGGUUCUUCUUGGGCUGGUUUUUCCUUCUAAAAGCCACUGUGCAAUCAAGAAGGAGCUACAUGAAAGUGGGAAGAUGCAAACACACAAGUCUAGGCCGUCCACAUUAAACACCCAAGAAGGGGAAACAAACCCCCUCAUUUUCCUGCAGGAGUAGACAUGAGUAAGAGAUGUCAGUGCAGCUAUGACAUCUGUUUACAUGGGGAUUUUAUGCACCUGUUCACUAGGCAAUAACAAAUGCUUACCAUGGUGGUAGCUGUAUCACACGGUACAUAUGCUGCUUCUGACAUACAUAACACCUCUUUAAGGAAACACAUGGCCCCAUAUGUCAUGAGAACUUGUUUACAUUCUACAAUACAGUAAUGGAAAAUAUGUUUCAUAAUAAAUGUUUUCAUCAUUUUUGUGUUUAAGGAAAGAAUGGGAGUUUUACGCCCUAGCUGUCAAGCUGAGUGUCCUCCCUCAUUGUUCUCAUUGAGAGAUGUGUGGCUCUGGAGCAAACAUCCUACAAGCUUUCUAAGUUCAGAGGAGUUUGGAUCUCAGCCGGUCAGUUUUAGUGGCCAAUGCCUAUGAAAAGGGUAAAAUUAGGAAAAAGAAGUAAGAUAGGAACAUAUAUUUGGGUGUAAACCAGAGUAUUUAUUUAUUUGGUUUGCUAUCAAGCGACCACUUUCUGGUCACUUUGGCAAGAGCUAAUGUUAUAUAUUGCCUAUGUAGAGCUCUCGGAAUACUGAAGCCACCUCAGGAAGAUUAUUCCCAUCAUAUUUAGAACCCCAUCUUUUAGUUCAGUCGCCCUGGAACCAGGAAAAGGAAUCAUAUUACUUCACAUCCAUAAAAUGAAGCAGAUUCCUGCUUGAAGAUUGUCCAGCCCAACCUCCAGAGAAAUUAGUUUAUAUAGCUUUUAGCUUUGAUAUGGUUUGAGUGAGAUUAUUCGGAUUUAUGUUGCCAUUUUAAAGCUUUUCUCUUUCAGUAAUUCUUCAGUUUUCGAUUGUCAGUGCAAGAUUACUUGUACACAUGGGCUUUGUCCUGGGUUCACUCCUCACUGCUGAGGCAAGAUUUUGUCCUACGAUUAAACUAAAAUGACAGUAAGAACUCAACAGAAUAACCUUUUCCCUUGGAAGACAGGUCCAAGAGCUAAUAAUUCUCAUUGCAGUGAUUUUUUUCCCCUUGAUAUGUACACUAACUGUCAAUUUCUGAUAUUUGCUUUUGUGGAGUUACUAAACAAAAGCAAAAAUCAGACUCUAUCUUGUUAGGUGAAACCACUGAUUUACAAACAAAGAUGAAAUGUGAAUGUAGAGCUAAGUGGACAAACAACUUUUAUUAUUUUGAUGUAAGGAAUGAUACGUUGAUAUAUUGUUCAAAUACAUCUUUCCUCUGAGUAGUCCUUCUGCAAAGCAAUAUCACCACUACUACAGCAGUUCACUUGAUAGUAGUGAAUGCAUGAAUAGAGCAUUUAUUCCAAAAUAUAAUAGCCUAAUCUUAUCUCUUUGUGCAUAGAUUAAUGUUGUUUAACAACAAAGACUUUCCAUGAGUUUCAUAGCAUGUCCACUCCAAGUACUGUUUAUUACCUUUUAUCACCUCAUCUAUCACAUAUGCUUAUUAAAAAUUAAAAAAAGCAUUUUUUAUUCUUUAUUUUAAACUAGCUGCCUGAUAACUUCUUUAGUGCCUUUAACUGCAGUGUUGUGAGAAAUGAAGAGUGUAUUUGGCUAUUUUUUUCUGGGUUUUUUUGCAUUGGUUUAGAUUUUAUGCAGUACAAUAUUUAUUGCUUUCUCCCAGUCUGCUUUGCGGACUGGAAAGUCCUUGUCUGUUUUGGCCAAGCUUGGACAAGUGACGUAAGUCUCUGCGAUCUGAUAAACAGAGGUCACAGAGCACUUCAAAACCUUCUUCUGAAAUGUGUCAAUGGUAAAACUAUAAAAAUAGAUUGAACUGCACUUUUGGCGACAUUUUCUGACUUAUCCAUUCUCAGUGUUAGUUCCUGAGUUCCUUGGAGCUUGUGCAAUAUGUUAGGGCACGAAGCUACUCUUGCCCAUAUGUAUUUGAGGACAAAGAUACUUAUUUUGAGCACGUCAUUGCAAAACGUUAAAACAAAACACCUCCCAAACUGUCUGGUUCUUGCAGUUUGCUUAAUGGGGAGAAGCAUGACAUAUUAUUUAAUAACACCAGAAGCCCAAGGCCCUAAUUUAACAAAGCAAAUAAGUCUCUUUGACUUCAAGGAUGCUUAAAGUUAACCAUGUGCUUCAUUGCCUUGAGGAAUUGGGGCCAUAUAUAGAGUGAUAAUGCACAGCCUAUUAAAAAAUGACCUGGUUAAAACAUAGGCUUACAAGAUUUUAAUAGUGCUCAGUUUAUAGAUAAUUCCAAUUUCUUAUAAACAUAUAAACUAUAUAAACAUUAACACAUAAAAACUUAAAGUUUUUUGUCCAUAGGAUGAAUUCACAGCUGUUUCUCCCAUAUAGAAGCUUGGUCUUCAUCCCACAUAUAUAUAUAUAAAAUAUGUAUAUAUAACGUAUACAUAUAUGUAUAUUUAUAUAAUAUAUAUCUUUAUCUAGAUAUAGAUAUAUAUGUAGGUUAUUCCUGUAAUUAAGACCGACUCAUUAUGAGUACAUGUAAUAGAAGGGAUAGCAAGUCUUGUUUGACUUAGAAUUCUUGUCAGUCAUUUCUUUCUUUUAAACACUUUCCCACCUUUUUGAAUUGUAUUAAUUCUAAACACAUAAAUAGAGCAAUUUUGAAAAUACUGGGGACACAUUGAAGUGUUGCCUCUUAACCCAUCAAUUUGUUUUUUAUGUCCUUUAGAAAAAGGAGGAUGUUUUCAACUUCAACUCUGUCAGGGUACACAAGUACCUUUUAAAGCAGUGGUUGUAAUCUUGUUUUCAGGGGCUUGUACAUUAAUAUGAUACUGAAAUUUGCAGUGAAAUCUUACCUAUUAAUUUCUUCUAUAAACUUUAUUAAACUGGAUUAUUGCUCAUGUACUUUGGUGUCUCGUUUACAGCAGAGAGCUGACAAGCUUUAUGAAUGGGAGAACAGCAUCAUUUAAAAAAGAAAACAACUUCAAAUCCCUAAGGAAGAACCGUUUCCCAGCAUUUUAACACAGAAUACAAUGUUCCAUCACUCUGAAGCCAACUGGGUUUUUUUACUUAUUUUCAAGACAAGAAACAAUUUGAUAACAACCUACAGAAACUUGGCAAGAUAAUUAAAUAAUAAUUUUUCUUCUGAUGUCUGAUCAAACCAUAAAGAGAAAAAUCACAAAGAUGAGACAAAUUUUAUUUUGCCAUCAUAUGUGGUGAGCGAUUUUUGAGAAGUAUAAUUUCCUCACUACAGGGAACCGGUGCUCAUUAAUAGCACAGCCAAGCAAAAUUUCUGAAAAUUGUUAUUGUAAUGUUUACAUAAUGAGGUCAUAUUUUUUUCAUUUAUGAAGUACAGGUGCAAAAUCUAAACACUUUGCUCCCAGAAGUGCAACUUUCCAGCCGUUUCUUUCUUAAGUGGUCCUUGCAAACAUAACCAGCCAACUAUUAAUGGGCUAUGGAAAACUUUGGGAAAUCUUUUUAAUUUUUUCUUUUUUGCCUCUUGCGACCCUACCAAUGCAAAAAACCCAAACCUAUCACUCUAAAUCUGUUUGCUCUUUGAUUUUCUUUCUAUCCUUUUUUUUUAAUUUCUGUUUUGUUUUUUGAGGACCAGUUAACCUACAGAAGAGCAUCUGCUGGACCCUGCCUGGGAAAGCAGACGUGGAAGCCUUGCAAAUGUCAAAGCCAAGGAGUGGGUCGGACCCCAGAUGAGUAUUUCUUCUCUGGAACGUGUUCCUCUCCGUGCAGAGCGACCUCAGCCUGUCUGGGUGCCAGGGGAGUGAUCUCCAUCUGUUGAACGCUUGUCAGGUGAACUGCUGACCUACACUGAUCUAACACCCUGCAACACCUGCGAGCUGCUCGACCGCGGCCACCGGGCCGCCGAACAACACGGAGCAAGAUGCACCCGCAACAGCUUGGAGGAAACUGGGUCAAUUUUUUAUAGACUUUAAAAUGAAAUAUGAAUAAAACUCCUUCUGAGAGCAGUAAAGCUGGAAGCAAUUCCAAGCCUUCCUUGAGCAGAAAGGCUGCUCUGUUUCUUGACUCCCAGACACGAACACUGAAGCGUUAGCCUGUCAUCCACUGAGCACUUCAACCACAGUAAAGGAUGCACCUGGGCUCGGAAGAUCAAAGCUCUGCUCAGUCUUCUCAAGUUGGAUAUUCUGGUAUUUCUGGUGCAUCUUGCAUAUGUAGAAACAGCAAAAUUUCUCUUGGGGAACAGGCAUCAGCACAGAGAGGGGACAGAUGGUGUUCGAUACGGAGACCGAACUACAGCUCGAUCUUCCCAAAGAAAGUGGGUCCUGCAAGAGCAAGGGAAGACAUCAGUUAAAUUGUCACAAAUAAGCCCCAACUGUUGCAAAACAGCAUCUGAUUUCCUAGAUUAAUCUGAAAGGAGAAAGAAAUAUUCUGGCAGUCCUACCUGAUGUUUCAAGCCUCAGUGGGUAUAUCCAGCCCUACUCGAGCAUGGGGUGUAAGUAUGUAUGCUGCUUGAACUUGCUUCUUUGCAACACUUAAACAAAUAUAGAAAAUUAAUAGAAAUAUCAAGACACUGGAAAAAACAACAUCAAAAUAGAAUUCUUAUGAACUGAUGAGCUGAGAGUUGAGCUGGUACCGGCAGAGUGGGAUCAGUCAGUGGUCAGAUACCAUCUGCUGGAUUUCCAUAUUUUUCAGCCAUCUUUAAGACUGAUUCCUUGUGUUACAUGAGCCAGAGGGAGCCUGGAACUACACAACCUGUUGUUAAAGAAACUUGCACCAUCACCAGGCAUCAGCUCCAAUCUCCAGAGGCCCAGUCUCCAGACAAUCAACUCGUGUGCUGUUAGUGCUUUGUUUCUCUCACUUCUCCUGUGUACAUAUGAAACUGUCGAGCUGAAUUACACUUUAUAAGGUGAUAGGGAAAAGAUCUAACAUUUAUUUUUCCCUCUUACUAAUUUUUACAGUGUGGGUAAGCUAAUUUUUGCAGCCUAAAAACCAACAAAGCAAAACAAGCCCUGCUAUUCUUGACAUCUUUCAGGUAAACAAGAAAAGCAUUUGACAUCAUUUGCAAUUAUUAUCACGUUUUAAAAGCUCUGCUUUCAUAAACAGAUGAGGCAUGACAACAAAUGAUGCUUAUUGAAAUCUAAAUUUUUACAUUAAAUACACCAAAUGAGCACAAAAGUAGAAUUUAAAGCCUAGGCAGAAGUCUGGGAUCACCUUCCAAAUCCCAUUUCCCGCUGUUUUAAGGGGGAGUUGAACGUCGUGCAGCCUCACGGUAGAGAACAAUGUUCCCUAUUAGUGCAGAUACUUGAGAUCUUCUCUAUGAUUCUUGAAAAGGGGGCCAAAAGCAGUGAUUUUCUUGCUGUUUCACUGUCCACUGUGUGGACACCAUUACUUUCCAGCCAUAUAAGCCUUUUUGAUAAUGGACAACAGAUUCCCAAGAACUGCUCAAGCUCCUGGGUGUGUGUUCCCUAUGGCAGACAGAGUGUGCUCACUUCUGAUUCUUCAGAGUAAGAGAUUUGCAGUUUCUGUGCCAAACCAGUCAAACCUCACAUCUCAUUUCGUUCACUUGAAAAUGAAAAUUGUGAGCUGUACACAACACUGGUGUUUCUGUUCCCUGCCAGCACUUCGACGCAUCUGACAGGAAAGUUCCCUCUAUGGAGUGUUUUCUGCCUUGGUGAGUUCUUUCCAUGACAUUGCUUGAAAAAUCCAGGUUUGUCGAUUCCUUUGUUCUAUUAUAUGCCCUGUAGCUGGUUCCACACAUUUAUUGCCUGACUUCUUCCUAUAGUUUUAAAUGUUCUUGUAUUGUACCAUUUAGUAAGUAAGUCCCUGCUAAAGUCAGAGCAUAAAGCUUGUUCAAGGUGCUUACAUUCCUUGAAAAGAGCCAGGCAAGCAUUUUCUCUACAAAUGAGAAUUAUUCAUCAAAUUUAUUCCACCUGGGGUUUGUAUGUGUGCAUGCAUUCUUUGUUAAGUAUUUUAGCAAAUAUUAAAAUCCCAGGUAGGUUAAGGGGAUCAGCAAAAUUCCUGCCAGUAUUAAAUGAAUAUUUGUGCAGGGUGAAUUUUGAGUGUGCUGUGUAAAGCUUAUAAUGCUUAAGACUAUAUUCUUCUGCUAAAUGGUUAAACUCUGCCCUAAGAACAAUUUGUCCAGAACAGUAGGAGAGCAGAAAAGAAGUGAGUUACUUGUAGUGAAGAACGUGCAACCAUAGGGAAGGAUUAUUUGGGAAAUUAUAAUAGGCAGUUGAAGUCUUGGAAGCAUUCAAGAGACUUCACUACUUCCAAUAGCAAAUUGUUUAUGGAGAGAAAUAAAGCUAAACCUAUCCAAUUUUUUUCAAGUAGCUCUGAUAACUUGUAAGGUUUGUGUCAGACUCUAAGUAGAAAAUUAUCACCAAUUGUAUUCCAAAGAAAGCAAUAAAAGCUUAGUAAGAGGAAAGCAAUGCUGAAGCUUCUUCAGUCAGCUCAGUAGCUUUAAUUGCUAUGCUUUUUUUUUUUUUUUGAAGGAUAUUUUUAAAACUCUGAGCCCAUUUUCUUUUCUGUGGAAAUAUUGCAACUCAUCUACAGUGUUUUCUUUUUGGUUCAUCUUGUUCUCGUCUUUCUCAAACUUACACUUUAGCUGUGUGCCUCUGGCUAUUAACCCUGUGGAUUUCUUUCAAAUAUGAGAAAACUUGAUUCUCAAAAACCACCACAGUGGGAAAACAUCCCACUUAGCCCUUGUUUUAAUGUCAAAGGGGAAAGCACCUCUGUCCUCUUAUAUUGUUGAGAAGGCACAGCAGCUUCACUUCUCAGUCAACAGCCUUGGACAGACAGAUAGCCUCAUCCUUCUUCUAUUUUUUGUCCAUCUUUCAUACCAGGAGGCAGGAAUUUCUCCUAAGAAAGAGAGAAUGUUCUUCAUAAGCUUAUGCCCCAUGGACAGUCUGUGGUUUCUUAAGGGCCCUGCACUAUCCUCAUAGAGGAUACUGGAUGUAGGAGCAUAAAACCUUCCUGGGGCAGGCAGAUUAGAAAGUUUUUCGUCCCCACUGGAGUUAGAGGCCAAGGGAGAUUUUACUCAGUGGAAUGGGCUGUGUUUUACCAUCGGUAUGAUGUGAAGAAAUAUAUCAUUAAGCUGGUUUUCUACUCACUGCUUUGAUCAUGGUGGCAGGACAAAAACAUCUCACUUGGUAGUUUGAGUGUUCUUUCACCCAAAUUUAGUCUCGCAAAUUGGAACUCCAUAGCCUUUUAAGCACAAGCUUUUCAUCAGAGGACUGGAAAUGGUUACUUGUGCCACUUAGAUUCCAGGCAGUCCUGUUAAACUCUAAAAUAGGGAAUGGCAGAGCCUUUGGAUCAGCUGACAUGCAUUUCAAGCUUUUAAAUCUGCAGGGGGAGGAAGAUUCCUCCUAUUCCAAAAGCACAGACACACUUGCUGAGUAUCAGAGAACCUCUUCCAGGCCCAAAGUGCAGGCAGGUUUGCGGGUGGAAGGGUUGGAUCCUGGUAGGGUCCCUCUGGAUGCAGCAAAAUAAAACACUCCUUCAUGUUCCCAUGAGGAUCUGAAAGUUUUUUCUAGUUAAUAAACUUCCUCUGUCCAAUUUCAUUGAUCUGCAUGGACUUGCCAAGGUGAAGGAUCUUUGUUUGCAGGCUUUUAAAAUCAGCUAAUUUAUUUGGGUUCUUUCUUUAAAAUUCUCUGCAGCUGAUUAUUACCCGGAGUCUCAAAAAUAGACUCACUGCUUUGGGAUUUGGGGGGAAAAGUGAAGCCUAUAUCUUAUCCAUAACUGUGUAAUGGUGUCUGAAAAUUUGUAUUUUUAAAAAAAAAUGUUUUUAAAAGGAGCCUCAUGAUAUUGGGAGGUUGGAUCCUAAUAGGGCAGAGGGAAGGAGGUGGAGGGGAGCAGAAUUCAGGGAAGACUGUGGCAUAAGCUUUCCCUUCUGUUACCUGGAGGCACAUUUAAACCAGCUGUUGCUGUAUUAAAGAGGGGGUUCUUUAACAUCUAAGAUAUAUGUUUAAAAAUAUAAUAUAUUUAUUCGGACAAUAUAUCUGAGUGUUUAGAAAUAGCACCCUCUGCUUUAAAUCCUUCUCAAAGGUAGAAAUGACUGGAACUUUUCUCUUGCCAUCUCAGCUGGCAACAACCCAUGUGAUAAGGACACCAUUACUCCUCGUACAGGUGAGGAAUUCCCAGGGCUUGGUGUCCUGCUCCACCAGAAGCUUUGGCCAUGGUGCACAGUCUAGGUUUGUGCUGUCUCCAUACCCUGAUGUGGAUGCCAGUCAUGAAACCACUUCUUUUGCCCACCUCCAUCUGGCAGAAUGAAGCUGAGGGACCAGGUCCCCAUGGUAGGCGUUAGUGAAACACCAGUGAAACCAGUGGGACUGCUGGUGCUAAAUCCAGAGCCCAGAGCAAUAUUUCAAGUGGGAGCAGCCAACAUGAUCAAUUGAAACAGUGGGCAAUGCAGGACCUCAGCUCUUCCCUUGCUCCCCUCCCCUCAUAUUUAUAGGUUUCUAAUUUCCGCUGGAUAAUGAAUAUCACUCUUCAUUAUAAUUAUGUUAAAAGGUACCAGCACGAUGAUUCAGAAACCCUUGAAGAUAUAGUCAUAUUUUCAGCAACAGAUGGAUUUAACACUGCAGAUGGAGUGUUAAGAGUGCAGGCAUUUUUACGCCAGGGAGAUACAAAGAGGUACUGAUCGAUUGACCAUGAUAAUCAAAUAAAGGUCUGUGAGUAUAAAUGA